Molecule: small nuclear RNA, 164 nt
Filed under: Aotus nancymaae (Ma's night monkey)
Lineage: Eukaryota; Metazoa; Chordata; Mammalia; Primates; Aotidae
Description: U1 spliceosomal RNA (ENSANAG00000010113.1)
Rfam family: U1 spliceosomal RNA
About the family: U1 is a small nuclear RNA (snRNA) component of the spliceosome (involved in pre-mRNA splicing). Its 5' end forms complementary base pairs with the 5' splice junction, thus defining the 5' donor site of an intron.
Source: Rfam by way of RNAcentral
AUACUUACCUGGCAGGGGAGAUACCAUGAUCACGAAGGUGGUUUUCCCAGGGCGAGGCUUAUCCAUUGCACUCCGGAUGUGCUGACCCCUGCGAUUUUCCCAAAUGUGGGAAACUCAACUGCAUAAUUUGUGGUAGUGGGGGGCUGUGUUCCCACUUUCCCCUG